RNAcentral lists this transfer RNA (72 nucleotides) under Camelus bactrianus (Bactrian camel). It matches the Rfam family "tRNA". From Rfam's summary of the family: Transfer RNA (tRNA) molecules are approximately 80 nucleotides in length. Their secondary structure includes four short double-helical elements and three loops (D, anti-codon, and T loops). Lineage: Eukaryota; Metazoa; Chordata; Mammalia; Artiodactyla; Camelidae. The record is from Rfam by way of RNAcentral. RNAcentral also lists the same sequence under 2 other names.
GGAAAAAUUGCUCGGUGGUAGAGCACAUGCUUAGUGUGCAUGAGGUCCUGGGUUCAAUCCCCAGUACUUCCA